RNAcentral lists this ribosomal RNA (440 nucleotides) under uncultured bacterium. Its description in RNAcentral is "partial 16S ribosomal RNA". It matches the Rfam family "Bacterial small subunit ribosomal RNA", at positions 338 to 795 of the family's 1533-position model. The record is from RNAcentral.
CCUACGGGAGGCAGCAGUAGGGAAUAUUGCUCAAUGGGGGAAACCCUGAAGCAGCAACGCCGCGUGGGGGAUGAAGGUUUUCGGAUUGGAAAAUCCUUUUGUUAGAGAAGAUACUGACGGUAUCUAACGAAUAAGCACCGGCUAACUCCGUGCCAGCAGCCGCGGUAAUACGGAGGGUGCAAGCGUUACUCGGAAUCAAUGGGCGUUAAGAGCGCGUAGGCGGGAUAGUAAGGCAGAUGUGAAAUCCUAUGGCUUAACCAUAGAACUGCAUUUGAAACUGGUGUUCUUGAGUAUGGGAGAGGUAUGUGGAAUGCGUGGUGUAGGGGUAAAAUGCGUAGAGAUCAAGCGGAAUACUGAUUGCGAAGGCGACCUGCUAGAACCUGACUGACGCUGAUGCGCGAAAGCGUGGGGAUCGAACAGGAUUAGAUACCCUUGUAGUC